CGCAAGAAGAAAAUGGCGUCCCAUUUUGAAUCUUGUUUUUUUGCCUUCCUUAACGGGUUUAAAAGAUAACGUACUGUGAUAGUUUUUAGUGUUUGGAAUCAAGACGCCUAAGAUGUCAUGAGUAUGUUGAUUUGGGACCUUACAACGGAGACGAGAUCGAAAAGCCCAUGGUUCCAUCCGUACUUUGCUGACGUUUCCUGCUAGGAGAGACUGAUUUAAUAUGGCUAGAGGAUUACCGAAGGGCAGCCAUAUAAAGGUAGGAUUUUUCCUUUUAUGCAUGGUGUAUUGCAUGUUAUAUAUUAUGUGUUGGGGGGGGAGUGAAUAGUGCAUAUUACAAUCAAGAGCAAGAUCACCAACUAUUUUAGCUAAUCUUCGUGUUUAUAGUACAAUGCAAGUUGCAACAAUCUCCUCAAUUUAUCAGCUUGGUCAUGUAAGCUUCACCAUAAUGAUUCUUAGAAAAGUUUCCUUCAUGGUAUGACUAGACUGAGUAAGCUGAGUCACUGUUGCACCUUCAUUUAUAUUAUUACACAAAGGUCAGCUUAGAGGAAGGUAAGUGCGUGCUCGUAUAUAAUGAAUUAGUUCAUCAGUUAAAAGAUACUUUUUACUGUAAUGAACGAGAUGAACACAAUUUAUACAGAGAGAUUCUUUUAAGAGAAUACAUUAAUACAUACAAUUUCCCUAUGUAACACCUCCCAUUAGGAAUUUUAGAAACUUAUACAGUGUGGCCAUUUAAGUUCGCAGCAUAUGGCAAACUUUUUUAUUAUUAACAUUAGGAAAAAAAGAGUAAAAAACAUCUUUAUUUUUUAUUAAUGUUGGAAAUUGUUAUUUCAGAAAAUUUGUUUAAUAUUGCAAAGUAAUAUCUAAUAAACAAUAAACUCUUUUGUUAUCAUCAAAAAAUGGAUAACCUUUUGGGCAUAUAAUUUUGGUGGAUGAUAUUAUGACUCAAAAUAAAUUGAUAAUCAUAAAUAGAAAUAGUAUUUGUUGUCACUUCUGGUAUAAGUGGUAUACAGACUGAUUCAAAUUCGAGGGGCACCCAGACAUAUGAGAUACGCAUAUAUCUAUGGGGGCACCAUGGGGAUCUCGGGAACUGUAAGAGAUAGGUAGGUUGUUUAAAUUUGGCAAAGUUGCGUACUUUGAUGCUUACCAAAAUGCAGUUUUAAAACUUAAAAAAU
Photinus pyralis (common eastern firefly) is the source of this 1172-nucleotide long non-coding RNA. RefSeq lists it as uncharacterized. The record is from RefSeq and is a predicted model, not a curated record. The transcript has 3 exons. NCBI's taxonomy places the organism in Eukaryota, Metazoa, Arthropoda, Insecta, Coleoptera, Lampyridae.